This 253-nucleotide ribosomal RNA is filed under the name uncultured bacterium. Its description in RNAcentral is "partial 16S ribosomal RNA". It matches the Rfam family "Bacterial small subunit ribosomal RNA", at positions 524 to 776 of the family's 1533-position model. The record is from RNAcentral.
UACGGAGGGUGCAAGCGUUAUCCGGAUUCACUGGGUUUAAAGGGUGCGUAGGCGGAUUAGGAAGUCCGUUGUGAAAUCUCUGAGCUUAACUCGGAAAUUGCGGUGGAUACUAUUAGUCUUGAAUACUGUGGAGGUUAGCGGAAUAUGUCAUGUAGCGGUGAAAUGCAUAGAUAUGACAUAGAACACCAAUUGCGAAGGCAGCUGGCUACACAGAUAUUGACGCUGAGGCACGAAAGCGUGGGGAUCAAACAGG